UUGAUCCUAGAGUUUCAUUAACUUCUCUUUUGCUUUAACUUAACCAAAUUCUCAAAUUUCAUACUUAGUUGCUAAUUAGCCUGGAUACUUCCAACUUGUAUAUAUCCCUCUUAUACAAGUACCCUCAUGAUCAUCUUACCCCGUGUAGGUUGCAUGUAUUUCGAGGCUAAUUAUUUUACCACUAUAAGGUUUGUUCUUUGCCCGAAUUAGUUAGGAAAUUUACAAGCAUAAUGAGCCCUAACGUGUAAUGAGAUGUAUCAUUUGUUUGUAAGCCACAUUUCUAAAUCACGCCUUCCUUGUUUCUGUUUGCGCUUAUACUCUUUUGUUUUCUUCAUGUGCAUCUACAUAUUUUAUCAAAUAAUAAGAGCAUCGAAUAAUUUGAAUUGCAUUUUUUUUUUAUUCUUCCUCAGGUUUCGAGCAAUAAGUAAGCAUAUCGAAGUAGUAAAUUCCCUCAGG
Molecule: long non-coding RNA, 456 nt
Filed under: Nicotiana tabacum (common tobacco)
Lineage: Eukaryota; Viridiplantae; Streptophyta; Magnoliopsida; Solanales; Solanaceae
Description: long non-coding RNA (NTAB_LNC012642)
Source: RNAcentral